This 439-nucleotide ribosomal RNA is filed under the name uncultured bacterium. RNAcentral's name for it is "bacterial SSU rRNA". It matches the Rfam family "Bacterial small subunit ribosomal RNA", at positions 340 to 774 of the family's 1533-position model. The record is from RNAcentral.
UACGGGAGGCAGCAGGGGGAAUAUUGCACAAUGGGCGCAAGCCUGAUGCAGCCAUGCCGCGUGUAUGAAGAAGGCCUUCGGGUUGUAAAGUACUUUCAGUCGUGAGGAAGGUGUUAAGGUUAAUAACCUUAGCAAUUGACGUUAGCGACAGAAGAAGCACCGGCUAACUCCGUGCCAGCAGCCGCGGUAAUACGGAGGGUGCGAGCGUUAAUCGGAAUUACUGGGCGUAAAGGGCACGCAGGCGGUUAAUUAAGUUGGAUGUGAAAUCCCCGGGCUUAACCUGGGAAUGGCAUUCAAGACUGGUUAGCUAGAGUCUUGUAGAGGGGGUAGAAUUCCAUGUGUAGCGGUGAAAUGCGUAGAGAUGUGGAGGAAUACCGGUGGCGAAGGCGGCCCCUGGACAAAGGCUGACGCUCAUGUGCGAAAGCGUGGGGAGCAAACG